UGUUAGGAGGUGUAGGAUAUGUUUUUGUAUGUGUGCUGGUGGUGAGCUUAUGAAUAUUCAUAUUUGGCCCAAAACAUUUUGUAAAGAGAGAGAGAGAGAGAGAGCACCGAAAGGGAGAGAGAGACAGAAGGAAAAGAGAGAGUACCGAAAGAGAGAGAGAGAGAGAGAGAGAGAGAGAGAGAGAGAGAGAGAGAUGUAGGCUCAACUUUUUGCUGGAGCAAAUUUAGAAAAAGAACUCAACUUUAAGAGUGAGUUUGAGAGAUCAGGGGAGUAGAGAGAGAAACCCAUUUUGUGAUGGAAAUUGAAGGAAUAACAAAGGGAAUUAGAGAAAAUCAGCACAUUAUAUUAAGGUUACGCGCUAUUGUCUGCCUGAUUUAUCUGAUCUGUCCAAUCUGUCUGAUUUGCUUCUACAGCUAUCUAUGAGUAAUAACUUAGCAAAAGUGAUUAGGCGCGUGACCAGGCUUAGAGGCGUCUGUCCGGAAUCUGUUUUUGUCAGCCAACCUAUGUGCCUCCUAUGGAGGUUCUGGAUAUGUCAAGUGGUUAUGGCUAUGCGAUUAAGUUCAAGUUUUGUCACUACAACAAAAUGGUUCUUUAAUGACAAAAUCACUUCGUCUCCAAUAGUGAAAUUUUCAUCACCAAAUUGAUCUGUGACGAAAUAAUUUCGUCACCACGUUCGUCAUCAAUUCGUCGUCACUAAAAGUACCUGAUGACGAAAAUUUAUUUUGUCACCUAUUAUUGGUAUUUGGUGACGAAAUAUUUCGUCACUAAAUGUUAAAUAUUUUGUCACCUAUAACGUUCAUUUCAUCACUAGAAUUAAAUAAAAUUUUAUUAUAUUUGUUUUGGGUGACAAAAUAUUUCGUCAUUAAAAAUAGCGACAGAAUUUUUAGUGACAAAAAUAAUGUCACCAAAAGAUGGAAAAAAAGACCCUUCAGUGACGAAAACUUUUGUCAACAAAUAUUUUAAUUUAGUGAUGAAAUAGUGAAUAUGUAUGACA
Non-coding RNA from Camellia sinensis, 994 nucleotides. Lineage: Eukaryota; Viridiplantae; Streptophyta; Magnoliopsida; Ericales; Theaceae. The record is from RefSeq and is a predicted model, not a curated record.